GUCUCAGACAUUUUGGAAGGAGAGACGACAAGACUCCUGUGUCACGAGGCUGAGUUCUAGCCCAGCACUAUCAUUAACUCAUGAUGGCGACUUGAGCAGGUUUUUCUCAAGACCUUCGAGAGACCAGUGCAACCAGAAGUUGGAUGACAGGAAUUAAGCGUUUACACAUUAAUUUAUUCAAAUAUUUGCUGAGCAACUGUAGACACUCUUCUAGAAUGGAGGCAAGGUUUCUGCUCUCAAGGGAUCCUACACCCAUGAAGGGUGACCCAAGAAGAGAAUGGCUAAAGGAAACGUGAUUCGGGGCGAAAGGAAAUUCCACUGUCAAACCCUACUCUGUUUUCUCUCAAUCCUGCUUGAAGGCAAGCCCCAUGUCUUGGAAAGACACAGAAGAAACAUGUCCAGACACUGGCGAAGUGUGCAGCCUGAGGUGUCGGCAUACGGCACAAGAAACAGCACCACCAGUGAAGACUUCCUUCAAAGUAGUGUGGUUCGCCGGUAGAGUUUUUCGCCCUGUUGGUUGGGACUUCUCUAGUUGGCUCCCCAUACCAGAGCGCCUCUGUGGCCUGGGCUCCAUAGUUGUCAACUUUCGAGCUGCAGAAUCUGAGCAAUCCCUAACUUUAUAGAUGAGGGAACUGUACCCCAGGUCACACAGCCCCUCAUUUACAAUGCCCAAAUUGAGGUUCUCAGACUCUCAAGUCAGAUGUCCUUCUACAGUAUCUCCAAGAAAGCAGCUACCAUCGGAAGCCCCUUUCCGGUAGCAUCUGAAGUAAGCAGAUGGGGGGAGGAUGAUCAACGCAGACGAGAAAGUCCUACGGGAGGGGUCUAGCUGAGCUAGAGGAACCACGGCACUUCCCAGUCUCCCCUCCCUCAGAAAGUAAUCAUGACACACUCCCACCCUGCCAGGACUCUUCCUGUUUGCAGCCAUGAAUCAAGCAUGAAAGCUUGCCUUCCCAUGAUCCUCGGCUCCCUGCUGACUGAGGCAGGUUCCAACUGAUAAGUCUCACACUAGUGAGCUGUCCGUCAGUGUGGGAAUUUAGUUGAGCCAGAUGGCAGAUUGCAGGCUGCAAAAUCCAGCCCUCACUUAGGCUAAACCAAUGGGGCUCUUAACAAAUUGGCUGGUCUCUCUAUGCGCUCCUGGGAGUAACAGAGGGGAGGCCUCACAGAUGCAGAAUUCUCUGCAGGUGCUCAUGACGCUCCUGAGCUCGCCAGAGGAGAAGCAAACCCAGGAAGAAGGGGUCGAAAGCCAGAGAGGAGGAAUUGGGGGCAGCUAUGAUUCUGCUUGCUUACCCAGACCCUGGAGAGGAGAAAAUGGCGACAGCCAGGCACAUCCCUCCAUCUAGGUCUCAAACAAGCUUAGCCUUUGUGGCUGAGAUAAAGAUGGUGCAGCAACCAGGACUGUCCUGAAAGACGGAGUGAAAGGCGUGGCACGCGAAGGGAAGGGUGGGCCAAGGGGGGGACUUGCAGGGCUCCAGACAGCUGGGAAAUGAGAAGCAUUCAUUGCAUUUGGCAACUGCGUGGUCACUGGUGCCUCUUACGAAAAUCAACAAAAGACCGGAGAUGAAGAAGAAUCAAAGAAAAAUAUUCUUUUUGUUGUUCGUGUUUUGAGACAGGGUCUCACUGUGUAGCUCUGGCUGGCCUGGCACUCACUCUGUAGAGCAGGCUGAACUCCCAGACAUCCUCGGGUCUCUGCCUCCCAAGUGCUGGGAUUAAAGAUGUAUGUCACCGUGUCCAGCCAAACAGUUUAUUUUAAAAAUAGAAAUGAUGGCUAGGGAAAGUGGUCUAUGACACAGAUGUGACAUUCUUGUCUUAAUCUUGAAAUAACUUUGGUAGGCUGUGCAGAGGGAAGCCAAGGAGAGCCUGCAGAGCCCAGAGGGAAAAAGGCAGAGCCUUGGAGGACAUAUGGGGCUCAGAGAACACAGAACUAGAAGUACAAGGGAGGAAGUGAGACGGGGCACAGGCACCGGUCAACAAGAAGAAAAGCGGCGGGCAGAAGCCCUCGCCUCGGGAGCUCUCUUCAAGGGAGCGGAUGGGAAGUCCAGUCAUUGGCUGACAGCAAAGAUGAAGGGUGUGCAUCAGAAAGAAGAGUAAUACAAGUUCAAGGGUUCCCAAUCAAUACUGAGGAUGUGGUUCUGAGUCCGCCAUGCUUAGAAGUCAAAAAGGAAGAGAAAGCAGGCUGACGUGAAAAAUGGAGACCGUAGAAGAGUUAGUAAAGUCCAAGAUGCUGAUAGGAACCUAUGUGAUGGGCCCUGGGUUCACGCUGGGAAGAGGAGGAAAUCCUGGAGGAGCAAAGUCUGGGAGAAGGGAGAGGGACACAGUCAUGGGGGACACAGUGCACAGCAGUGAGUGGGGCUGGAGAGGAGGAGGCCCCGAAGCGAAGACUCAGCUCAGAAGUUUAAUAGUGACCAGGGUGGUAAAAGUGGGAACAGAGCAGAGACAGCUACAAAGAGGGGCCGGCAUAUUAAGAGGCAUACAAAGACCUGUGGCAAAACUAGGGACAGGAAGCCAACGCUCACUGCAUUUCCAACAAUGUCACCCAUGAAGCGAUGUCCAAGGAGGGCCUGGUGGCCGCCGUUCAGCAAGGUCCCUACAGCAGGCAGGUACCCGUUACUGAAUCCAGGAGGAUCAACCUGCCAUACUCUGUGAAAGGUUGCUUUUCAAGUCCCUCCUGUACCAACGUUUGCACUAAAAUCCCCGUGCAUCCACUGAAGUCAUCCUACUACUGCGUCUCUCAGCACAGCCAGGAAGAAGACUCUUGUCUUCUAGGGCGGCA
This is a long non-coding RNA of Alexandromys fortis (reed vole), 2770 nucleotides long. RefSeq lists it as uncharacterized. The transcript has 3 exons. The record is from RefSeq and is a predicted model, not a curated record. NCBI's taxonomy places the organism in Eukaryota, Metazoa, Chordata, Mammalia, Rodentia, Cricetidae.